AUGGACAGUAUUGAUUACGUUUUUGGAGAUGAAAUUUUUAGUAUAAUUUUUGAAUUUCUAUAGUGAAAACCUGUAAAGUUUGCAUUAAUUUUUAUCACUAAAACUCGUUAGAUUUUCCUCCAUUGCAUUUUCUAUGUUUAUUUAACUUUCUUUCUCCUUAUUCUCUCAUUUUACUGAUCAUCAUUAAGCCACUCUUCUUUCUCUCUUUUUUUCCAUCUAUUUCUUU
This 226-nucleotide long non-coding RNA is filed under the name Ananas comosus (pineapple). RNAcentral's name for it is "long non-coding RNA (ACOM_LNC032065)". The record is from RNAcentral. Lineage: Eukaryota; Viridiplantae; Streptophyta; Magnoliopsida; Poales; Bromeliaceae.